UGAAUUGUCUUUCAUCACCUCUGCCACAGGGUCCUAUCCCAUUUGCCUACAUCUCUCUCCCAUCCUUGGCUCUAAGCUCCAGGAGGACGGAAGCUCGUCUUGCCUCUGACUGCCAGCAGGUUUCCAGGGCCUGUGGACAUGUUCUGCAAUAAAUUGGGCGUUCCAACUGCAUCCUCAGCAUUGACAUCGAAAGGAAGUGCCAUACUGAGCAGCGUUUGCAGCAGUCAGUGCUACGGUCAGCCAUCUACGUGUCUGUGAAGGGCUGGCAUCCACAGCGUGUGUGCCCUCCAUCAUAGUGAAGAACAUCACAAUACUGAAAAGGACAGAAAAAUCCUUAAAAGCAUGGACACAGGAAGGCACCAUGGACCAGGAAAUGGAGUUUCUUCAUCCUCGAUCUAGAGAUCAGCACUGCCAUUAAAAUUGCAGCCUCAUUCCUGGCCCACAGGAGAGCAGACACCGGAGCUUUUAAAUACAAAGGGAG
This 481-nucleotide long non-coding RNA is filed under the name Equus caballus (horse). RNAcentral's name for it is "lncRNA (ENSECAG00000054785.1)". Lineage: Eukaryota; Metazoa; Chordata; Mammalia; Perissodactyla; Equidae. The record is from RNAcentral.